AUGCGUAGAUAUCUGCAGGAACACCCGUGGCGAAGGCGGCUGACUGGAUCGCAACUGACAUGAGGAACGAAAGCUAGGGGAGCAAACAGGAUUAGAUACCCUGGUAGUCCUAGCCAUAAACCAUCGGAACUUGGGGUGGCCCGCGUAGGCGGGUCGUCUCGUAGCUAACGCGUUAAGUUCCGCGCCUGGGGAGUACGGUCGCAAGACUGAAACUCAAAGGAAUUGACGGGGGCCCGCACAAGCGGUGGAACAUGUGGUUCAAUUCGACGCAACGCGAAGAACCUUACCUGGGCUUGAACCGCCAGUGACCAACGGUAGAAAUAUGGUCUUCCUGCAAGGCACAGUAGCAGAGGUGCCGCAUGGCUGUUGUCAGCUCGUGCCGUGAGGUGUUGGGUUAAGUCCCGCAACGAGCGCAACCCUUACUUAUAGUUGCUACCCGCAAGGGAGAACUCUAUGAGGACUGCUCCGGAUAACGGAGAGGAAGGUGGGGAGGACGUCAAGUCAGCACGGCCUUUAUGUCCAGGGCUCCACACGUGUUCCAAUGCAUGGUACAGACUGUUGUGAACCCGCGAGGGGGAGCUAAUCGGCCAAAGCCAUGCUCAUUUCGGAUUGCAGUCUGCAACUCGAUUGCAUGAAGCUGGAAUCGCUAGUAAUGGCGCAUCAGAUCGGCGCCGUGAAUACGUUCCCGGGCCUUGUACACACCGCCCGUCACAUCACGAAAGUGAGCUGUACUAGAAGUCGCGCAGCUAACCGUAAGGAAGCACGCGCCCAAGGUAUGGCCCAUGAUUGGGGUGAAGUCGUAACAAGGUAACC
Molecule: ribosomal RNA, 813 nt
Filed under: uncultured soil bacterium
Lineage: Bacteria
Description: bacterial SSU rRNA
Rfam family: Bacterial small subunit ribosomal RNA
Source: RNAcentral